Molecule: long non-coding RNA, 252 nt
Filed under: Lathyrus oleraceus (garden pea)
Lineage: Eukaryota; Viridiplantae; Streptophyta; Magnoliopsida; Fabales; Fabaceae
Description: Pisum sativum (pea) long non-coding RNA (PSAT_LNC007867)
Source: RNAcentral
AUAAAGUAUUAUUUAUUGUAAGGUCGUGACGGGGAGCAUCAAUAUUGGGUUAAGAGCAACACACAAGUGCGAAAGACACCACACAUUAACCGAAAACCUUAAGUUGAUAGGUGUGACCACUUAUAAAUUCUUAAACCUCCACAUUUAUAAACAAUGUGAAACUCCAACUCACACUUGACUUAUUAUUUUUAACAUUUAUCAUGUAUUGAGAAUGAUGAAAGUAAUCCUAAUGAAAAGAUACAAUUAAAAAAU